UACAAGCAGUGGGAGCACAGAGCAAUCUGUGUGACUGCGUACCUUUUGUAUAAUGGGUCAGCGACUUAUAUUCUGUAGCAAGGUUAACCGAAUAGGGGAGCCGAAGGGAAACCGAGUCUUAACUGGGCGUUAAGUUGCAGGGUAUAGACCCGAAACCCGGUGAUCUAGCCAUGGGCAGGUUGAAGGUUGGGUAACACUAACUGGAGGACCGAACCGACUAAUGUUGAAAAAUUAGCGGAUGACUUGUGGCUGGGGGUGAAAGGCCAAUCAAACCGGGAGAUAGCUGGUUCUCCCCGAAAGCUAUUUAGGUAGCGCCUCGUGAAUUCAUCUCCGGGGGUAGAGCACUGUUUCGGCAAGGGGGUCAUCCCGACUUACCAACCCGAUGCAAACUGCGAAUACCGGAGAAUGUUAUCACGGGAGACACACGGCGGGUGCUAACGUCCGUCGUGAAGAGGGAAACAACCCAGACCGCCAGCUAAGGUCCCAAAGUCAUGGUUAAGUGGGAAACGAUGUGGGAAGGCCCAGACAGCCAGGAUGUUGGCUUAGAAGCAGCCAUCAUUUAAAGAAAGCGUAAUAGCUCACUGGUCGAGUCGGCCUGCGCGGAAGAUGUAACGGGGCUAAACCAUGCACCGAAGCUGCGGCAGCGACGCUUAUGCGUUGUUGGGUAGGGGAGCGUUCUGUAAGCCUGUGAAGGUGUACUGUGAGGUAUGCUGGAGGUAUCAGAAGUGCGAAUGCUGACAUAAGUAACGAUAAAGCGGGUGAAAAGCCCGCUCGCCGGAAGACCAAGGGUUCCUGUCCAACGUUAAUCGGGGCAGGGUGAGUCGACCCCUAAGGCGAGGCCGAAAGGCGUAGUCGAUGGGAAACAGGUUAAUAUUCCUGUACUUGGUGUUACUGCGAAGGGGGGACGGAGAAGGCUAUGUUGGCCGGGCGACGGUUGUCCCGGUUUAAGCGUGUAGGCUGGUUUUCCAGGCAAAUCCGGAAAAUCAAGGCUGAGGCGUGAUGACGAGGCACUACGGUGCUGAAGCAACAAAUGCCCUGCUUCCAGGAAAAGCCUCUAAGCAUCAGGUAACAUCAAAUCGUACCCCAAACCGACACAGGUGGUCAGGUAGAGAAUACCAAGGCGCUUGAGAGAACUCGGGUGAAGGAACUAGGCAAAAUGGUGCCGUAACUUCGGGAGAAGGCACGCUGAUAUGUAGGUGAAGUCCCUCGCGGAUGGAGCUGAAAUCAGUCGAAGAUACCAGCUGGCUGCAACUGUUUAUUAAAAACACAGCACUGUGCAAACACGAAAGUGGACGUAUACGGUGUGACGCCUGCCCGGUGCCGGAAGGUUAAUUGAUGGGGUCAGCGCAAGCGAAGCUCUUGAUCGAAGCCCCGGUAAACGGCGGCCGUAACUAUAACGGUCCUAAGGUAGCGAAAUUCCUUGUCGGGUAAGUUCCGACCUGCACGAAUGGCGUAAUGAUGGCCAGGCUGUCUCCACCCGAGACUCAGUGAAAUUGAACUCGCUGUGAAGAUGCAGUGUACCCGCGGCAAGACGGAAAGACCCCGUGAACCUUUACUAUAGCUUGACACUGAACAUUGAGCCUUGAUG
Molecule: ribosomal RNA, 1588 nt
Filed under: Escherichia coli
Lineage: Bacteria; Pseudomonadati; Pseudomonadota; Gammaproteobacteria; Enterobacterales; Enterobacteriaceae
Description: partial 23S ribosomal RNA
Rfam family: Bacterial large subunit ribosomal RNA
Source: RNAcentral